This is a small nucleolar RNA of Zygosaccharomyces rouxii, 137 nucleotides long. The record is from RefSeq and is a predicted model, not a curated record. NCBI's taxonomy places the organism in Eukaryota, Fungi, Ascomycota, Saccharomycetes, Saccharomycetales, Saccharomycetaceae.
UUUUCUCUUUUUUAAUCAUAUCCUCUCCUGUGAUUAUAAACUUUUAAAAUUACCAAUUGUUCCGACUGAAUAGUGGGAUCACUACGUGUCGACAACCUUUAUAUCGUUAAGUUUCAGCCUUGUAUGAGGUUAAGGGA